AGGGGUGUCGCCAAGUUGGUAAGGCAUCAGGUUUUGAUCCUGACAUUCGUUGGUUCGAGUCCAGCCACCUCUGCCA
Molecule: transfer RNA, 76 nt
Filed under: Moraxella sp.
Lineage: Bacteria; Pseudomonadati; Pseudomonadota; Gammaproteobacteria; Moraxellales; Moraxellaceae
Description: tRNA-Gln(ttg)
Rfam family: tRNA
About the family: Transfer RNA (tRNA) molecules are approximately 80 nucleotides in length.
Source: RNAcentral